GCACAGAGAGCUUGCUCUCGGGUGACGAGUGGCCCCACUUNNAGAGUAAUGUCUGGGAAACUGCCUGAUGGAGGGGNAUAACUACUGGAAACGGUAGCUAAUACCGCAUAACGUCGCAAGACCAAAGAGGGGGACCUUCGGGCCUCUUGCCAUCAGAUGUGCCCAGAUGGGAUUAGCUAGUAGGUGGGGUAACGGCUCACCUAGGCGACGAUCCCUAGCUGGUCUGAGAGGAUGACCAGCCACACUGGAACUGAGACACGGUCCAGACUCCUACGGGAGGCAGCAGUGGGGAAUAUUGCACAAUGGGCGCAAGCCUGAUGCAGCCAUGCCGCGUGUAUGAAGAAGGCCUUCGGGUUGUAAAGUACUUUCAGCGGGGAGGAAGGUGUUGUGGUUAAUAACCGCAGCAAUUGACGUUACCCGCANAAGAAGCACCGGCUAACUCCGUGCCAGCAGCCGCGGUAAUACGGAGGGUGCAAGCGUUAAUCGGAAUUACUGGGCGUAAAGCGCACGCAGGCGGUCUGUCAAGUCGGAUGUGAAAUCCCCGGGCUCAACCUGGGAACUGCAUUCGAAACUGGCAGGCUAGAGUCUUGUAGAGGGGGGUAGAAUUCCAGGUGUAGCGGUGAAAUGCGUAGAGAUCUGGAGGAAUACCGGUGGCNAAGGCGGCCCCCUGGACAAAGACUGACGCUCAGGUGC
RNAcentral lists this ribosomal RNA (693 nucleotides) under bacterium Co.J4. RNAcentral describes it as "bacterial SSU rRNA". It matches the Rfam family "Bacterial small subunit ribosomal RNA", at positions 69 to 754 of the family's 1533-position model. The record is from RNAcentral.